GACGAACGCUGGCGGCGUGCCUAAUACAUGCAAGUUGAGCGCUGAAGGUUGGUACUUGUACCAACUGGAUGAGCAGCGCACGGGUGUGUAACGCGUGGGGAAUCUGCCUUUGAGCGGGGGACAACAUUUGGAAACGAAUGCUAAUACCGCAUAAAAACUUUAAACACAAGUUUUAAGUUUGAAAGAUGCAAUUGCAUCACUCAAAGAUGAUCCCGCGUUGUAUUAGCUAGUUGGUGAGGUAAAGGCUCACCAAGGCGAUGAUACAUAGCCGACCUGAGAGGGUGAUCGGCCACAGUGGGACUGAGACACGGCACAAACUCCUACGGGAGGCAGCAGUAGGGAAUCUUCGGCAAUGGACGAAAGUCUGACCGAGCAACGCCGCGUGAGUGAAGAAGGUUUUCGGAUCGUAAAACUCUGUUGGUAGAGAAGAACGUUGGUGAGAGUGGAAAGCUCAUCAAGUGACGGUAACUACCCAGAAAGGGACGGCUAACUACGUG
Molecule: ribosomal RNA, 497 nt
Filed under: uncultured bacterium
Lineage: Bacteria
Description: partial 16S ribosomal RNA
Rfam family: Bacterial small subunit ribosomal RNA
Source: RNAcentral